Triticum aestivum (bread wheat) is the source of this 2413-nucleotide long non-coding RNA. RefSeq lists it as uncharacterized. The transcript has 6 exons. Lineage: Eukaryota; Viridiplantae; Streptophyta; Magnoliopsida; Poales; Poaceae. The record is from RefSeq and is a predicted model, not a curated record.
UGCUCGCCCCAUUCUCAUCCACUCCCACGGCCUCGCCCAGCCGCCACGGAGGCUGCUUCAAUCUCUCGUUACGCCUCGCUCCACAUGCCCUUCCUUCCUUCCCUCCUCAAUGCCUACCUUCACUGGUGCGUUCUCGGCUGAGCCAGAGUGGACACUUCAGCACUGGCUCCGCGGCUAUGUUGAGGAGAUCAAAUUGAUGGAUCGAGGGGGCAGGAGGUGGAGGACGGCACGCGGUGGCGGGGAUGGAUGUGCCGGCGAUGGGGACGCUAUUGGGAAUCCGGCGCCAACAGGUCGCGUCGCGGCUCGACGUUCCCGACGGCUGCCCACGGCACACAGGUCGCCCGUGCCCCCGUCGGGCUCCAAGACCGCCACAACGGCGGAAUGGCCCCGCCUCUGUCGACUGGUGUAGUUUGGACAGGAGCAAGUGCGCCAAUCAAUUCUGAUGCGGUGAGAUGCACAGGGAGGCUUGCAUCGGCAAGGCUAGCAGGAGGCCGUGCUCAGGAGGGACCGGAGGUCUGCGCGACGACGACGUAUCUUCACCAAGGAGUUUGGAGGCAAUGCAGCAGUGGUGAAGGCGAUGGUUGUGCCGGGUGCAGGCAGGUGCAGACGGGGUGAAUUGAGUUCAGAUCUUUGAACAAAUGAUUGUGAUUUUGUAGCUGCAGGGUGCUAUUCUUUAUUAUUACUUGGCAUGUGGGACAUCUGAAAACAAUGAAAUACGUCGCCAUUGUGAAGCCUUCUAUAUAACUUCUCAAAGAAAUACCAAAACUAUGGUACGUUUGAUGUUGACCUGGAUUUGCACCAUGCAGAAUAUUGUUUUUACCUUUAGCAGUUACCUAGGUCUUAUACAGAUGAUCAACGCAAUGGAAAAACGACCAUACAUCCGAGACUGAUAGUAGUGGAUGUUAGGGCUGUGCGUUUGCUGCUCGAGAACUGUGUUUGCUGACCUGUGUUGUGGCAGCUAACCAUUUUCCAUCGGAGAUGAACGGAAGUGCAUAAAACCUGCCGCCCAAAGGUGCGCAUCUUCAAGGAUGCUCGCCAAGCGCUGGAGCACGCUGAAGCAGGGUUCGCCGCCCCGACUGAAUCGGGAAUACUCGCCGCCGCCUUGGAACCUUGACGAUGAUUGGUGUUGUAUUUGGAAUGAUUGGAUGAUUCAUAUAAGGCAUUAAUUAUUUUUAAUUGAUUGAUUGUGGCCACGAUCUGAAUAGACAUGUUAGGAAAGUGGUGAUGUGGAAGGAAAUAGUGGAUAGAGAUCGAUUCUGGUACGUGAGGGAAGUAGGCUCAGGAUGGAAAAUAUAACGUGGCGAUGUGAGUUGACGAUGUUUUUUUCCUGCUUAUUUGUCUGACGGGUUCUGCGGGUGGAGAAAAAAUAGGUGGGGAUGGGAAGGCGAACGUGCGAGGUGGAUGCCUUCUAUCGAUGGGAGGGAUGCGAACCAACGAAACAACGUACGGACUGCCACAGAUAUAGAUGCGCGGAUUUUUCCUUAAAUUCUGUUAUUUGUUUCCUUCAAAUUCGUUAUUUUAUCUAUAUCUAUACCUACCUACUUCUUGGUUUCGUCCCGCUAGAUGAUUUUAUCUUUUGUUAAAAAUAUAUCCUAAAUGCUUAAUCGUGCAGCUGCGCGAUUCGGUCGCGCUGAGCGCACGCGCUACCCGACAAGGCCGCUAGAAACCAACCGCUUCACUCUCUUCCUUCUCGAGAAAAAAGCCUUAUCCCAAUCCAAUCCCCUUUUCCUCGUCUACAUUUAGUCCGACCAGUGCUCAGGCGAAGCAUAGGAGCGCCGCCGUCGACGACCUGGCGGUCGUGGAGGAGGCAGUGCACCGGAGGAGCUCGGCGAUCAGGUCGGCCGGGGAGCCGGAGCAGCAGCACUCCCGUCCCCCGUCCACCCAGCGGCCCCCGGCCCCGCAACCCCGUCGAGGAAGGGCCGCAACGGAGCUCACGCCGGAGGGCGACCUUCUGCUCAGGUCAGCUGGCCGCGGUACAGCCGUGUGGUCCGCCGGCACCAAGGGUCGCUCCGCCGCUGUUACGCGCAUCAGCAGCAAAGACAACUUCGUGAGAUAGCCUCUGGCGUGGAGCUGUUCGACCCAGGCAGCGAAUGACAAGUCACCUCACGGUAAUGCCAUCCUCCAAUUCUCAUUCUGCUGCUUGCAAUUGAGAUUGAGCCCCUUGUGUUGGUAGGAUAUGUGUGUGAUGCAUGCUACUUGGCAUAGACUGAUGCAUUGUUUUGCGCAAAUUCGUUGCUCUUUUGGGCAAAUUCGUUGCUCUUCUGGGAGCGUCAGGACAAAAACAUCCAGUUGAUGUUAAGCUUUUGGCAUAAAACAGUGAGUGGUCUGUACAAGGCCACACAGGCCAUGUGUUAAGCCAUUAGCAUAGAACGCAUAUGAUUGUUUCUAUGAAUUGAUUGCGUGUCAUGUUCCA